This is a non-coding RNA of Dipodomys ordii (Ord's kangaroo rat), 70 nucleotides long. The record is from Rfam. Lineage: Eukaryota; Metazoa; Chordata; Mammalia; Rodentia; Heteromyidae.
GGGAAUAUGGCUCAGCGGUAGAGCGCUUGCCUAGCAUGCAUGAAGCCCUGGGUUCCAUUGCUCAGUACCA